RNAcentral lists this ribosomal RNA (400 nucleotides) under uncultured bacterium. RNAcentral's name for it is "partial 16S ribosomal RNA". It matches the Rfam family "Bacterial small subunit ribosomal RNA", at positions 355 to 771 of the family's 1533-position model. The record is from RNAcentral.
UGGGGAAUAUUGCACAAUGGGCGAAAGCCUGAUGCAGCAACGCCGCGUGAGUGAUGAAGGUCUUCGGAUUUGUAAAGCUCUGUCUUUUGGGACGAUAAUGACGGUACCAAAGGAGGAAGCCACGGCUAACUACGUGCCAGCAGCCGCGGUAAUACGUAGGUGGCGAGCGUUGUCCGGAUUUACUGGGCGUAAAGGGUGCGUAGGCGGAUGUUUAAGUGAGAUGUGAAAUACCCGGGCUUAACUUGGGUGCUGCAUUUCAAACUGGAUAUCUAGAGUGCAGGAGAGGAGAAUGGAAUUCCUAGUGUAGCGGUGAAAUGCGUAGAGAUUAGGAAGAACACCAGUGGCGAAGGCGAUUCUCUGGACUGUAACUGACGCUGAGGCACGAAAGCGUGGGUAGCAA